AUGGAUCGCCAUUCUCUCGAUUCACUCUCGCGUCGUCGGCGUAUGGAAUAUUUGAUGUUUCGUGAACGUCCAGGUUCAGAUGAGGACAGAAUGAAAUCUAUUAUUAGUGAGCAUGAGAAUAUGAUUGCUGAUCGUGAGACUCAAAAUGACGUGGAGGAUAUGGACACUCAGGAAGAUUGACUAUGGUAAAGGGAGGUUUGUCAAGUUCUUAAAAGUCAUGAAAUUAUCUUAAUACUUAGUUGCUAGAAUGAAAAAUUUUGGUGUGAACUGUUUUUUUUGGAAAAUAAUUGGAUACAUCGAAAAAGCAUUUCUGAAAGCAUUAAUUUUGAUAGAAAAUAGUAACGGUAAGAUAUACCUAAAUGAAAUGAAGUCCUAGAAUAUCCAUUAAGUCAAUACGCGGUCCAGAAGACCUUUUUUUCCAUAAUACCGACUAUGCUGACAAAAAAUUCUAACCUCCAUUACAGCAUACCAGUCCUAACAUUUAUUGAAGGUGAAACUGCAAUACUUUGCAUUUGAUCUGCAACAAGCAAGAUUUCACUCGAUUUAUUUUUUUUUGUAGGAUAACCAAUCAUUGCAAUUACAUUAAAAUUAAUACCAUUUUUAUUUACUUUUUCCGUAUUUACUUAAAUCUGAGAAUUUCUACAAAUCUCUCCUAUGAAUAAAAAGUUCAAGCCCUUUUUAAAUGCAGCAAUGGACCACUAGACAAGGUACGAAUUUCAGCACUCUGAAACAUGUCUCUCAAACAAAAUUACACCUAGAACACGAUGCGCACAACGAAAAUUACCGACGUCAACUCCUUCCGAAGAUAUUUAAUGAUUCUUGGUGCGUGAACUGAAACCACCUGCUCAUGAAAACUCAGUGCUCUACGUGAUUCACAUCGCGCGCUAAACGUUAUCAUGAAUGUCUCUGCGAUAAAAAAUCUGGCAACCUCAAUCUUGACGCUUUGGCUCAGCUGUAGCAAAUUACUUAUAGUUUGAAAAACACAUGGUGGGAAAUGAACACUGCUCGAUUGAGAAGCUUGCUGAAACCGUUGU
RNAcentral lists this long non-coding RNA (1034 nucleotides) under Bemisia tabaci. RNAcentral's name for it is "lncRNA ENSSSA1NGG013444". The record is from RNAcentral. Lineage: Eukaryota; Metazoa; Arthropoda; Insecta; Hemiptera; Aleyrodidae.